GAUAAACGCUGGCGGCGUGCCUAAUACAUGCAAGCCGAGCGAACGGACGAGAAGCUUGCUUCUCUGAUGUUAGCGGCGGACGGGUGGGUAACACGUGGAUAACCUACCUAUAAGACUGGGAUAACUUCGGGAAACCGGAGCUAAUACCGGAUAAUAUUUUGAACCGCAUGGUUCAAAAGUGAAAGACGGUCUUGCUGUCACUUAUAGAUGGAUCCGCGCUGCAUUAGCUAGUUGGUAAGGUAACGGCUUACCAAGGCAACGAUGCAUAGCCGACCUGAGAGGGUGAUCGGCCACACUGGAACUGAGACACGGUCCAGACUCCUACGGGAGGCAGCAGUAGGGAAUCUUCCGCAAUGGGCGAAAGCCUGACGGAGCAACGCCGCGUGAGUGAUGAAGGUCUUCGGAUCGUAAAACUCUGUUAUUAGGGAAGAACAUAUGUGUAAGUAACUGUGCACAUCUUGACGGUACCUAAUCAGAAAGCCACGGCUAACUACGUGCCAGCAGCCGCGGUAAUACGUAGGUGGCAAGCGUUAUCCGGAAUUAUUGGGCGUAAAGCGCGCGUAGGCGGUUUUUUAAGUCUGAUGUGAAAGCCCACGGCUCAACCGUGGAGGGUCAUUGGAAACUGGAAAACUUGAGUGCAGAAGAGGAAAGUGGAAUUCCAUGUGUAGCGGUGAAAUGCGCAGAGAUAUGGAGGAACACCAGUGGCGAAGGCGACUUUCUGGUCUGUAACUGACGCUGAUGUGCGAAAGCGUGGGGAUCAAACAGGAUUAGAUACCCUGGUAGUCCACGCCGUAAACGAUGAGUGCUAAGUGUUAGGGGGUUUCCGCCCCUUAGUGCUGCAGCUAACGCAUUAAGCACUCCGCCUGGGGAGUACGACCACAAGGUUGAAACUCAAAGGAAUUGACGGGGACCCGCACAAGCGGUGGAGCAUGUGGUUUAAUUCGAAGCAACGCGACGAACCUUACCAAAUCUUGACAUCCUUUGACAACUCUAGAGAUAGAGCCUUCCCCUUCGGGGGACAAAGUGACAGGUGGUGCAUGGUUGUCGUCAGCUCGUGUCGUGAGAUGUUGGGUUAAGUCCCGCAACGAGCGCAACCCUUAAGCUUAGUUGCCAUCAUUAAGUUGGGCACUCUAAGUUGACUGCCGGUGACAAACCGGAGGAAGGUGGGGAUGACGUCAAAUCAUCAUGCCCCUUAUGAUUUGGGCUACACACGUGCUACAAUGGACAAUACAAAGGGCAGCGAAACCGCGAGGUCAAGCAAAUCCCAUAAAGCUGUUCUCAGUUCGGAUUGUAGUCUGCAACUCGACUACAUGAAGCUGGAAUCGCUAGUAAUCGUAGAUCAGCAUGCUACGGUGAAUACGUUCCCGGGUCU
Molecule: ribosomal RNA, 1372 nt
Filed under: uncultured bacterium
Lineage: Bacteria
Description: bacterial SSU rRNA
Rfam family: Bacterial small subunit ribosomal RNA
Source: RNAcentral